Molecule: long non-coding RNA, 1203 nt
Organism: Xenia sp. Carnegie-2017
Lineage: Eukaryota; Metazoa; Cnidaria; Anthozoa; Malacalcyonacea; Xeniidae
Exons: 2
Source: RefSeq, a predicted model, not a curated record
UCUUAGAUAUUAACUAUAAUUGAAGUCAUUUCAUACAUAAUUCCCGCACUAGGGGGCUAACUUUAAUUCCACCGCUGUUUUGUUUAUUCAAAACAAAAAUUCUAACUGAUGAUAACUUUACACUAUCCAGUCUUUGGCGUCUUUAUAAUGCUUCAUAAUUUUGCUACGGUAAUAGGAUCAUUUCUUGUUUCGAAAAUUUGAGAGAACUCACCGACAUUACUUUCUUGAAAGUAACUUGCUGAAAUGACGACUGUCGAAGAGUUCAAAGUAGAGAAACGUUUAAUCGAGAAAGCUUUUGUUUUCAUAAUAAUGAAGUCUUUGAUACAAAAAAACGAGAGGGUGCUCAUGUUGACUUAAAGAAUAUUCUACAAGUGUGCAAAACCUUUGGCUUUACGAAACAUUUGGAAAUGAAUUUGAGAAGAGACGGAAUGGAGAAAAUCCUCAAGAAGAUAGAAAAGGAUGACUUUGAGGAAUACGAUGCGUUGAUUGUAUUCAUAUCCAGUUACGGAGAACAUAAUGACGUCAUUGGAGUAUGUGGUCAGAAGAUUUCUAUUGACGAUUUCGUUAAGUCGAUGGCCAGAAAUCCAACCUUAAAUAACUCAAGAGAAAAUAAGCCGAAACUUAUUUUUUCUGAAAAUAGUAACUACAGUGUGGUUAAAGCCGAUCACGGCAGUGCUGUAUCAUUGCCUAUGCAUGCUGACGUUCUCGUCGCCCAUUCCAAUUUGCUUAGAGGCGAAACAUAUCAUGAUUCUGUGUUUGGCUCGUGGUUUAUGCAUUGGUUAACAACUUUUUUGAAGGAUUUCGGUGACAAAAUGUCGUUGACAGAUAUUCUUACUAUGGUUAAAUGACUUUGUAGCUAAUUUUGAUGUGAGAGGCACUAAGGAUCAAGUGCCUUGUUUUUCGAGCAGUUUGAGAAUGGCUCUCCGUUUUCAAAGAGUUGUGUAAGCCACAUAGUUGCGCUUGCAAAAUUCUAAAUAUGGACAAGUUUCAUUUAUGCACUAUCAGUUCAGUGUUUAAAAUACUAAUAUUAAUAUUUCGACCAAUGUCGUCGAGAAAUUUUUAUUUUAUUAAUAUAUUAUGUAUAGAAUCAAGUACACUUAACAAAUGAGUAAAUAAAUGAAUAGAUAAAUAAAUACGUUGCACAAUACGUAGAGAGUUGAAACACUAAUACUUGAGAUUGCAAUAUAUAUUUUUAUAUCUUUA